RNAcentral lists this non-coding RNA (99 nucleotides) under Chloroflexota bacterium. RNAcentral's name for it is "Chloroflexi bacterium c-di-GMP sequence". It matches the Rfam family "Cyclic di-GMP-II riboswitch aptamer". Lineage: Bacteria; Bacillati; Chloroflexota. The record is from RNAcentral.
UGCCGACUGGGAGGCGAUGAUCCAGUGAUUUGAAUUGGUCGCUGCUCCGGAUUAAGGUGCAGUCACUGGGGAGCCAAAGCGAAACCGGCCCAAGUGGGG